AUAUCAAUAAGCGGAGGAAAAGAAACCAACAGGGAUUGCCUUAGUAACGGCGAGUGAAGCGGCAACAGCUCAAAUUUGAAAUCUGGCGCUUUCAGCGUCCGAGUUGUAAUUUGCAGAGGGCGCUUUGGCGUUGGCAGCGGUCCAAGUUCCUUGGAACAGGUCGUCACAGAGGGUGAGAAUCCCGUACGUGGCCGCGUGUCUUCGCCGUGUAAAGCCCCUUCGACGAGUCGAGUUGUUUGGGAAUGCAGCUCUAAAUGGGAGGUAAAUUUCUUCUAAAGCUAAAUACUGGCCAGAGACCGAUAGCGCACAAGUA
RNAcentral lists this ribosomal RNA (313 nucleotides) under uncultured Leptosphaeria. Its description in RNAcentral is "partial large subunit ribosomal RNA". It matches the Rfam family "Eukaryotic large subunit ribosomal RNA", at positions 40 to 350 of the family's 3401-position model. The record is from RNAcentral. Lineage: Eukaryota; Fungi; Ascomycota; Dothideomycetes; Pleosporales; Leptosphaeriaceae.